GCCAUCGUGGUUUAAUGGUCAGCACACUGGGUGCAUAUUCCAGAGGCCCGCGGUUCGAGUCCCGGCGAAGGCG
Molecule: transfer RNA, 73 nt
Filed under: Stegodyphus mimosarum
Lineage: Eukaryota; Metazoa; Arthropoda; Arachnida; Araneae; Eresidae
Rfam family: tRNA
About the family: Transfer RNA (tRNA) molecules are approximately 80 nucleotides in length. Their secondary structure includes four short double-helical elements and three loops (D, anti-codon, and T loops). Further hydrogen bonds mediate the characteristic L-shaped molecular structure. tRNAs have two regions of fundamental functional importance: the anti-codon, which is responsible for specific mRNA codon recognition, and the 3' end, to which the tRNAs corresponding amino acid is attached (by aminoacyl-tRNA synthetases). tRNAs cope with the degeneracy of the genetic code in two manners: having more than one tRNA (with a specific anti-codon) for a particular amino acid; and 'wobble' base-pairing, i.e. permitting non-standard base-pairing at the 3rd anti-codon position.
Source: Rfam by way of RNAcentral